RNAcentral lists this unclassified non-coding RNA (2132 nucleotides) under Pomacea canaliculata. RNAcentral describes it as "poly [ADP-ribose] polymerase 11-like, transcript variant X2". The record is from RNAcentral. Lineage: Eukaryota; Metazoa; Mollusca; Gastropoda; Architaenioglossa; Ampullariidae.
ACUAGCUCUUGCUUUUGUCCAGUGAAUGUUGUAUUUCAUCUGAUGACACGGAGAUGAUUAUGUCAUGGCGUGAAUGCUGAACAGUUGGGAAGAGAACAGACCGUUAGAUGCUUCUUUAUGUCGUAAAAUAAUGUCAGUUAAACCUGACUAGUUUUCCAACUGUUAUCGCUUCUCAGGUAUUUUGUCGCCUAAUAUCUAAAAAUCGCACGGACUUUUAAAAGCAAAAAACUUACCUGCCUACACAGUAUAUGGAUGCACAAAUUUUCAUUGGAGACCAAAGACCAAAGGAAAGGAUUUGGCUCCGGAAUCUUCAUAUCAUACCCUGGACACGAGUACUCGUGUGUUCAAGUUAAAAGAGCCAUAAUGGCUGAUGAACGGUUGGAAAAGGAAGUUACCACACUGUUGCUUACAGAGUUUGACGGAAGAGCAAAGUUUGGAAAACUCAGAAGGAGUUUGUACCAGAAUAAAACUGUCAGAGACAUUGGCCUUCGUUCCGCUUUGAGGCGGAUAUCAAACAUAAACAAGUUCUUAGUCUUUGAAAAGAAUAACAACGUAAAAUGUUUGUCUGUCUUCUGCAAGGAUGCAAGUAUUUGCUGUGGAUAUCGCAGGAGAGGAUGCGAAACGUGCAAAAAGGAAAACUGCCAUAAAUUCCACGUGUGCAAAGACUUCAUCAGCGGCAGCUGCACGAGAAGAUUCAGAUGUCCUUUUGGACACGACCUUAGUAACGAAGCCAACAGGAGGUUGUCAGACAGGUUGGGUCUGUCUUCUUUUUCAUGUGAAGACAUCCGCACCAUUAUACUUUGCAGCCAACCAGCCGUGUGCGAGGAGUACAACACGGAUGGUUGUGAUGACGAUGACUGUCCAGACCUUCACGUCUGCUCUCGUUUCAUCAAACAGAAAUGUACAGCUGGGGGUUACUGUAAGUUUGAACAUUCUAUUAAAAGGUCCGACCAUAAUAAGUGGGUUCUGGACACCUUUAAUGUCAGCCAUUUGACGGAGGAAGAGUUAAGGGAGAUUAUACUAGUAAGAGUUGUUUCUGACAGGGAUAUGGGACUACAAUCGCAGAUGACACCAGCUUCAUCGACGCUGAGUCUCAUGAGUAGUUUCUCUGCGACGUCGACGAUGUCAUUGGCAACAGACAACACAGACGAAAGCGUUGUCGAUGUUUUCAGCUUCCUGCUGAAGCGUUUCAGUGGGCGAGCUAGAUUCAACACCUUUUUGACGGAAAGAGGCCAUCUUUUAGGACAUAUGGGGCGAGCGGCCAUCAUCGACUGGUUAAAGGACAAUAAAGGCCGAUUUCUUUUGUACGUACAGAGAAGUAAUUUAAAUUACGUUUCUGUUUACAACAGCCGAGCUAGGGCGUGCUUCAGGUUCUACGACCCCAGAAAGUCGGGCUGUGAUAAUAAGUCUUGUAAGUACUUCCACGUCUGUCGACAGUUUGUCGCAGGUGACUGUGUCAGCACCCUAUGCAACUACAGUCAUAGUUUCUCCUCCGGGUCAAAUGCCAAGGUGCGUUCGGAUUUGAAACUGGAUGAGUUCACUGACAGCGAAAUCUGCGCGAUCAUUCGCUGUAGUAAUCCAACCAUCUGUGUCAAUCAUAACACAUCAGGCUGUCACCUGGAUGAUUGCCCGGACCUCCAUGUUUGUUCCAAGAACACUUUCAACCAGUGUACCAGUGGCGAUGGCUGCAAGCUUGGUCACGUGAUACGAGAUUCAGGAGAACACAACGUCUACGUGUUGAAGACGUUUCAUAUGACACGUGGCGAGAGGACGUCCUUCGCAGACUCGUCAUCGCCAAGAAGGGAGAGCACAUAGAAACGCAAGAGAAUGUAGGUGCCUCUGCUAUACAGAGAGCGCCAUCUGUAGGUCAGCUACAGAAAGCCAUCAGCACCCUCGACCUCUCCAAAUCGGUGAACGACAAAGAUAUCUUUCCCGGAAAGUACGAAUACAUUUGUGCAAAGUACACCUGGACAGGUGCGUGUCCCAACAUUCCGUUCUGUCCACAUUAUCAUCACCCUGACCGCCUGCCAUACCUGUGGCUGACUGCAGAGGAUGGACAAUGGCGAAGAAUCCCCACAAGCGACGGUGUCCAGCUGGAGACACGCUUCUGUGAAUAUGAUGAUGUCUUCAAA